UACGUAGGGGGCAAGCGUUGUCCGGAAUCAUUGGGCGUAAAGCGCGUGUAGGCGGCUGAGUAAGUCUGCUCUGAAAGCCCGGGGCUCAACCCCGGGAGGCGGGUGGAUACUGCUCAGCUCGAGUCCGGAAGAGGAGUGUGGAAUUCCUGGUGUAGCGGUGGAAUGCGCAGAUAUCAGGAGGAACACCAAUAGCGAAGGCAGCUCGCUGGGACGUUACUGACACUGAGGCGCGAAAGCGUGGGGAGCGAACAGG
RNAcentral lists this ribosomal RNA (253 nucleotides) under uncultured bacterium. Its description in RNAcentral is "partial 16S ribosomal RNA". It matches the Rfam family "Bacterial small subunit ribosomal RNA", at positions 524 to 776 of the family's 1533-position model. The record is from RNAcentral.